AAAAAUAAUAAUAAUAAGCGCAGAUCUGAUCUAGGAGUUCCUAACCAUUUUACAACAAUGUAAUCUUUGGGAGACUUGGGACAGCCAUUUCUAAGAAGGGUCUGAGCUGACCCCUGCAUAGAAAGGAACUGUAGGGGCUGGCUGACACUCCACAAGAAAGGCCCUAGACCCUGAAUAUUGGGAACAUCAGGCUCCCAUUCCCAGAAGCCACUAAACGGUGCCCUGGGGCUCUUGGAAGUCCAGCAGGGUUUCCUUGUUCCAGGUUCUUCUUUACCUAAAUCCAUUGACUGUUAGAACCCAUUACUUGCAGAAGACCUAAACCAGGCCUGCCUGUUUUAGCAGAACCUCUUUUGCUGAGGCUAGUCUGAAUAUGAAGACCUAGGGAAAAAGCAAGAAUUUGUUCUACAGUGAGUAACAGGAGAAACCUGAUGCUGGCUUUUCACCUGAGAAGGUGACUUUCUUUUCCAGGUUUUCAUUAUGUCCUGGGUCCUGUGACUUGAGCUCCAACAUUCCUUACAUCAAUGGUUGAUGGUUGAUUACAGGACGGUUGUAGGACUUGCAGAAUGACCCUAUCUGACUUGUAGGAGUUCCUAGCAAUCUUACCGUCAUAAUGCUAUCUCUGGUCCCUAUCUUCCAGAACCCCUCACUCAUUGUACAUUGGCUGGGCACCUGACAAAGCUCACUCAAUCCUAUGCUGCCAAGCCCCAUUAUCUACCCUGUCCCCUCCCCUACCUAAGUUCUAGCCAUACAACCAGCCACCACAGCCUAUCACUGCCACUCUUCCCUGGAGGGCCUCAAAGGAGUCCCGCCUUGCCCUCCUCACCCAGCUGGCCCGCUGGGGACUGGUCUCCAGGGACCAGUCCACUAUGUACCUGUGGACAACCUUUCCCUGUGCCAUUUUUGCAGUUCAGAUGUGCAGGAAGCUUGCUCUGCCUGCUUUCGGCAGCUCCCCAGGGCUGAGCAGCCUGCAUAGCCCAAAACUAGUGUUCCGCAAUUGCUGGUUGAACUGAAACCCACUGUGGUUGCUGUUCUUUCUUCUUGUUCCCACACUUAGCUCCCUCCUAGUCUUAAGUAACGAACCAUAUUAGCCUUAGCCAGGAAACUGAAGAGCCAGUCCAGAGGCAGGGGGAGGAGCCAGCCCUGGUCUGGUCAUCCAUCUGAUCAGCACCAAGGCUUUCCAGUGGCCCUCCCUUACACAUUUCUUGUGUUUCCUUCUGUGGACUCUUACCAAGACACGGGUAUAACUUACUUAGCUUCAAAUCUAGAGGAAAGACUCUGACUGGAGCAACUAGAGGAGGGUAUUUUGGCACUGAGAGGGAAGGUGCAAAAGAAGGACAAGGAGAUCUGGUGCUGGGAACAUGGGUUUCACAUGCACAAGUCCACAUAUACACACAUACACACUGAGAUAACACACUCCCACACAGAGAGAGAGUGUCUAGUGUGUCCAUCCAGGGGCUCCUCUGACCUCCAACAAAUACCGCCUCUCUGUCCUAGACUGAGCCCUGGGGUGGGAAUCAUGGGAAGAGAUGUUUCUGGAUAUCCUGAGUAUGAAAUGCAGGAAGGGAAUGUGAAAUAGAAUGGAAAAUGAACAUCGGCAAACAGGGACAGCCACCCUGCUAUAGAUAACUGACUGUGAAGAUUUCAGGCUUAUUCUCCUAAUAAGAAGUUUACCCGGUAGUGUCUAACUCCUCUGCCUUCUCCCGUGCCCUCCUCAGGCCCUGAGCCAGACAGAAUGGCAAAGAGGCUACUAAGGACUGACACAGAGGCAGAGGGGGAAGCAACUUGUGGGGUAAGUCACUCUUGAUCUUCAAGACUGCUGGGCACAAGAGAGUGGGAGAGCCAGAAGAUGCUAAUCCCGUUCUCCAUCUGCUCUACAAGGGCUUCCAUGGCCCAGGUAGCCGGGGCUGCAAGAACACAGAGGCCACCUCUGGUUAUCAGGCCCCUGCGCUUGCAAUAAUUCCACUUCAGCUGUCUUAGCACAUCUCUAGGCCUUCCUUGUGAUGCAAUCGUUACAAGAGCCUGCUCCACCCUCAAGGAGUGAGAAGAUACUUGUGCCGGGAGAGCAGUAUACUCUCUAGCUGGCCAUGGCGAGGGUCACAGGUCUCCCCAAGCUCUGAGGAAAGGUGAAAGAGCAGAGAGCAGAGCUCCCAGACACUAUGUGUCAUCAUGUCUGUGAGCAGAAUGCUGAUAUGUUACUAAAGAAAGCUAGAGACUCUGAAGACCUAGCUGCCAGCUGUACUACUGGCUUAGGCAAGUGAUGCCCAUGCCAGGAGAAGCUCAAGAUGCCUGCCCUCUGGCUGAUAAGCCCUGAGGGCAAGAUGCUCCUGAGGGCUGAGCCAUUACUGAAAAAAGUUGUCUCACGGCAAGUAAAGGCUAAAGAAGAAAGCGAUGGUAAGAGUGUCAAGGUAAG
Molecule: small RNA, 2410 nt
Filed under: Rattus norvegicus (Norway rat)
Lineage: Eukaryota; Metazoa; Chordata; Mammalia; Rodentia; Muridae
Description: uncharacterized LOC102548601
Source: RNAcentral